GUUGCUUCUCUUGGUGAAUUCAUUUUUUUUUAUGUGGGGGAUGUUCUAGUUUCUGGAGCAUAUGUAAAAUUAAUUACCAGUUUUAAACAGCUUUGUGUAAUCUGGUAAACUU
This is a small nucleolar RNA of Lupinus angustifolius (narrow-leaved blue lupine), 112 nucleotides long. It matches the Rfam family "small nucleolar RNA snoR137". Lineage: Eukaryota; Viridiplantae; Streptophyta; Magnoliopsida; Fabales; Fabaceae. The record is from Rfam.